This 274-nucleotide long non-coding RNA is filed under the name Mytilus galloprovincialis (Mediterranean mussel). The record is from RNAcentral. Lineage: Eukaryota; Metazoa; Mollusca; Bivalvia; Mytilida; Mytilidae.
GGGGGAAGGGCUAGGAUGAAAUUUGAAAAAAAUAGGCAGGACAGGAGUUUUGAGUAAAUUAAAAAGGCAGGAUGAGACACUUGCAAAAAAAAAAAGUCAGGACGACAAUUUAGGUAAAAAAAAGUCAGGAUAAACUAAAAAAAAAAAAGGCAGGACCAAACAGAGUGAAAAAUAAAAAGGCAGGACAGAGAUUACAGCUAAAAAAAAUGCAGGACAAAAUUUUUCCAUCCUAGCCCCCCCCCCCCCCCCCAUAAAAAUCAAAUGGUAGCUCCCU